Molecule: ribosomal RNA, 536 nt
Filed under: Chromobacterium haemolyticum
Lineage: Bacteria; Pseudomonadati; Pseudomonadota; Betaproteobacteria; Neisseriales; Chromobacteriaceae
Description: bacterial SSU rRNA
Rfam family: Bacterial small subunit ribosomal RNA
Source: RNAcentral
GGGGUAAAGGCUCACCAAGGCAACGAUCAGUAGCGGGUCUGAGAGGAUGAUCCGCCACACUGGGGACUGAGACACGGCCCAGACUCCUACGGGAGGCAGCAGUGGGGAAUUUUGGACAAUGGGCGCAAGCCUGAUCCAGCCAUGCCGCGUGUCUGAAGAAGGCCUUCGGGUUGUAAAGGACUUUUGUCCGGGAGCAAAUCCCAGUGGUUAAUACCUACUGGGGCUGAGAGUACCGGAAGAAUAAGCACCGGCUAACUACGUGCCAGCAGCCGCGGUAAUACGUAGGGUGCAAGCGUUAAUCGGAAUUACUGGGCGUAAAGCGUGCGCAGGCGGUUGUGCAAGUCUGAUGUGAAAGCCCCGGGCUUAACCUGGGAACGGCAUUGGAGACUGCACGACUAGAGUGCGUCAGAGGGGGGUAGAAUUCCGCGUGUAGCAGUGAAAUGCGUAGAGAUGCGGAGGAAUACCGAUGGCGAAGGCAGCCCCCUGGGAUGACACUGACGCUCAUGCACGAAAGCGUGGGGAGCAAACAGGAUUAG